GAUGAACGCUGGCGGCGUGCCUAAUACAUGCAAGUCGAGCGAACAGACGAGGAGCUUGCUCCUCUGACGUUAGCGGCGGACGGGUGAGUAACACGUGGAUAACCUACCUAUAAGACUGGGAUAACUUCGGGAAACCGGAGCUAAUACCGGAUAAUAUAUUGAACCGCAUGGUUCAAUAGUGAAAGACGGUUUUGCUGUCACUUAUAGAUGGAUCCGCGCCGCAUUAGCGAGUUGGUAAGGUAACGGCUUACCAAGGCGACGAUGCGUAGCCGACCUGAGAGGGUGAUCGGCCACACUGGAACUGAGACACGGUCCAGACUCCUACGGGAGGCAGCAGUAGGGAAUCUUCCGCAAUGGGCGCAAGCUUGACGGAGCAACGCCGCGUGAGUGAUGAAGGUCUUCGGAUCGUAAAGCUCUGUUAUUAGGGAAGAACAAAUGUGUAAGUAACUAUGCACGUCUUGACGGUACCUAAUCAGAAAGCCACGGCUAACUACGUG
Molecule: ribosomal RNA, 497 nt
Filed under: uncultured bacterium
Lineage: Bacteria
Description: partial 16S ribosomal RNA
Rfam family: Bacterial small subunit ribosomal RNA
Source: RNAcentral